AUGAUGUGGUUUAAUUCGAUGCAACGCGAAAACCUUACCUACCCUUGACAUGUCAAGAAUUUUGCAGAGAUGUGAAAGUGCUCGAAAGAGAACUUGAACACAGGUGCUGCAUGGCCGUCGUCAGCUCGUGUCGUGAGAUGUUCGGGUUAAGUCCCGCAACGAGCGCAACCCUUGUCAUUAGUUGCUACCGCAAGGAGCACUCUAAUGAGACUGCCGGUGACAAACCGGAGGAAGGUGGGGAUGACGUCAGGUCCUCAUGGCCCUUAUGGGUAGGGCUACACACGUCAUACAAUGGCCGGUACAGAGGGCUGCCAACCCGCGAGGGGGAGCCAAUCCCAGAAAACCGGUCGUAGUCCGGAUCGUAGUCUGCAACUCGACUGCGUGAAGUCGGAAUCGCUAGUAAUCGCGGAUCAGCUUGCCGCGGUGAAUACGUUCCCGGGUCUU
This 444-nucleotide ribosomal RNA is filed under the name uncultured Aquabacterium sp. RNAcentral's name for it is "bacterial SSU rRNA". It matches the Rfam family "Bacterial small subunit ribosomal RNA", at positions 936 to 1382 of the family's 1533-position model. The record is from RNAcentral. Lineage: Bacteria; Pseudomonadati; Pseudomonadota; Betaproteobacteria; Burkholderiales; Sphaerotilaceae.